GCCCGGAUGGCUCAGUCGGUCGAGCGUCCGACUUUGGCUUGGGUCAUGAUCUCACGGCUUGUGAGUUCAAGUCCCGUGUCGGGCU
Transfer RNA from Felis catus (domestic cat), 85 nucleotides. It matches the Rfam family "tRNA". From Rfam's summary of the family: Transfer RNA (tRNA) molecules are approximately 80 nucleotides in length. Their secondary structure includes four short double-helical elements and three loops (D, anti-codon, and T loops). Lineage: Eukaryota; Metazoa; Chordata; Mammalia; Carnivora; Felidae. The record is from Rfam.